GUCUACAGCCAUACCACCCUGACCACACCCGAUUUCAUCUGAUCUCAGAAGCUAAGCAGGGUAGGGCCCGGUUAGUACUUGGAUGGGAGAAACCCCCUAGGGACUGUCUUUC
Prolemur simus (greater bamboo lemur) is the source of this 112-nucleotide ribosomal RNA. The record is from Ensembl. NCBI's taxonomy places the organism in Eukaryota, Metazoa, Chordata, Mammalia, Primates, Lemuridae.